CCCACACCCACACCCACUCCUUAAUCUCUCGAGAACAAAACCAACCCAACCCAGAUUUCUCUCAUUCACAGUUCAAAUUUCUAAACAAGAUCUAUCUUCUAGAUCGGUUGCCCGCUCCAGAGCAGCCACAACGCCAACACGGAGGCCGCCGAAAGCGGCGAGAUGGUCGAGGAGAUGUACCAGAAGAAGAUGUAGCUACUCAGCCCAUCAGAUCCAUAGAGAAAUACACCCAAAUCUUCUGGGUGUUUGAGAAUGAUGAAAUGGUCCAGCGCGUCGUCGAUAUUGCAGACAUCAAGUGCUAGAAGAAGUACUAGUAGGCUCAAGAAGACUGCAUCAAUUAUGGUGUGUGUAUGGGCAAAUAAUUAUGUGAGACAUGCAAGCUGUUUGAUGAUGAUGAUUAUGUUCUACCCCGUUUGUAUUAUGCUGCAGGUAGCACAACUGCUUUUAAAUGAGGAGAUUGUCAGAGUAGUUAGAGGAUGCAUCAAUCCUGUAGGGACUGGCUUUGGGGGACAUGUGAUGGGUUGCAUACUAGGCCUUCGAGUCUCUCCCACACACCGGUCUUAUGAUGCUUUACGUGGAAGCCCUACUUUUCUUAAAUUGAUUCAGGUAGUUGCCGGCAUUGCUUUUUCUGUUUGGGGUCUUGGGCCUCCGAUCUUCAUGGGGAGGAUUAUAUUCUUUCAAGUAUUGUGUCUUGCUCUUCCCAUGCACUAUGUGACAGUUUCAAAGCUUCUAAACAAGCUCGAAAGAGAAGGCGAAUCAGAACACAGUGCGCAAGAUGAUUGACAAAAUGGCACAAGAAAGUUUUGUUGAAUCCAAAAGCAAUUGAAGGCUAGGUAAGCUUUAUUUCAAUGGCAGAAUUCAGCAAAAUUUGAGGAGGAAGACAACCUACAGUGUUGCAGGAGUCUUUUUUUUCUCGUGGUUAUACACUUAUACCUCAAGAUGACGUUGUUUAUAAUUAAUGUGAGUCUAACAACGUCGUAUUGGAUAAGGGAAAGGAAAAACAAGGACGCAAGGUCAGUCCUAGCAAGACUGAAAGUUCGAAACGACCCCAAAUGUAUUUAGGACUAGGAGAAGCUCUAUCACAAGAUCUUUAGAUUACAUGAUUUGCAAAGAUUGAAAAGGAUCUCCCUAAAAUUCUAAAACGAUCUCCUCGAGAGCUUGAGACGCCAACCUCAUUGAUCUAUUUCGUUUUCUAGUUCUAUCAACUAAGUGUUAUUCCAUCAUGCACCAUGAUUCAU
Molecule: RNA transcript, 1238 nt
Organism: Argentina anserina (silverweed cinquefoil)
Lineage: Eukaryota; Viridiplantae; Streptophyta; Magnoliopsida; Rosales; Rosaceae
Exons: 7
Source: RefSeq, a predicted model, not a curated record